RNAcentral lists this ribosomal RNA (482 nucleotides) under uncultured bacterium. Its description in RNAcentral is "bacterial SSU rRNA". It matches the Rfam family "Bacterial small subunit ribosomal RNA", at positions 27 to 507 of the family's 1533-position model. The record is from RNAcentral.
GAUUGAACGCUGGCGGCAUGCCUUACACAUGCAAGUCGAACGGCAGCACGGGAGCAAUCCUGGUGGCGAGUGGCGAACGGGUGAGUAAUAUAUCGGAACGUGCCCAGUCGUGGGGAUAACGUAGCGAAAGCUACGCUAAUACCGCAUACGAUCUAUGGAUGAAAGCGGGGGAUCGCAAGACCUCGCGCGAUUGGAGCGGCCGAUAUCAGAUUAGGUAGUUGGUGAGGUAAAGGCUCACCAAGCCGACGAUCUGCAGGCUGGUCUGAGAGGACGACCAGCCACACUGGGACUGAGACACGGCCCAGACUCCUACGGGAGGCAGCAGUGGGAAUUUUGGACAAUGGGCGCAAGCCUGAUCCAGCAAUGCCGCGUGCAGGAUGAAGGCCUUCGGGUUGUAACUGCUUUGUACGGAACGAAACGGUGAGCUCUAAUACAGUUUGCUAAUGACGGUACCGUAAGAAUAAGCACCGGCUAACUACGUG